RNAcentral lists this ribosomal RNA (88 nucleotides) under Epimedium brevicornu. The record is from RNAcentral. Lineage: Eukaryota; Viridiplantae; Streptophyta; Magnoliopsida; Ranunculales; Berberidaceae.
GAUCCCAUCAGAACUCCGAAGUUAAACGUGCUUGGGCGAGAGUAGUACUAGGAUGGGUGACCUCCUGGGAAGUCCUCGUGUUGCAUCC